Molecule: ribosomal RNA, 253 nt
Filed under: uncultured bacterium
Lineage: Bacteria
Description: partial 16S ribosomal RNA
Rfam family: Bacterial small subunit ribosomal RNA
Source: RNAcentral
UACGUAGGGGGCAAGCGUUGUCCGGAUUUAUUGGGCGUAAAGCGCGUGUAGGCGGCCACGCAGGUCCGCUGUGAAAACUCGAGGCUCAACCUCGAGCUGUCGGUGGAAACCGCGUGGCUAGAGUCCGGAAGAGGGGACUGGAAUUCCCGGUGUAGCGGUGGAAUGCGCAGAUAUCGGGAGGAACACCCGUGGCGAAGGCGGCCACCUGGACCAGCAUUGACGCUGAGGCGCGAAAGCGUGGGGAGCAAACAGG